CGUUCCCGGGCCUUGUACACACCGCCCGUCAAGUCAUGAAAGUCGGUAACACCCGAAGCCGGUGGCCCAACCCUUGUGGAGGGAGCCGUCGAGGGUGGGAUCGGUGAUUAGGACU
This 115-nucleotide ribosomal RNA is filed under the name uncultured bacterium. RNAcentral describes it as "partial 16S ribosomal RNA". It matches the Rfam family "Bacterial small subunit ribosomal RNA", at positions 1369 to 1482 of the family's 1533-position model. The record is from RNAcentral.